GACAGAGGGUGCAAACGUUGCUCGGAAUUACUGGGCGUAAAGCGCGUGUAGGUGGCCACGCAAGUCAGGUGUGAAAGCCCAGGGCUCAACCCUGGAAGUGCACAUAAUACUACGUGGCUGGAGUACUGAAGAGGAGAGCGGAAUUCCCGGUGUAGAGGUGAAAUUCGUAGAUAUCGGGAGGAACACCAGUGGCGAAGGCAGCUCUCUGGGCAGAUACUGACACUGAGACGCGAAAGCGUGGGUAGCAAACAGG
RNAcentral lists this ribosomal RNA (253 nucleotides) under uncultured bacterium. RNAcentral's name for it is "partial 16S ribosomal RNA". It matches the Rfam family "Bacterial small subunit ribosomal RNA", at positions 524 to 776 of the family's 1533-position model. The record is from RNAcentral.